RNAcentral lists this ribosomal RNA (446 nucleotides) under uncultured bacterium. RNAcentral describes it as "partial 16S ribosomal RNA". It matches the Rfam family "Bacterial small subunit ribosomal RNA", at positions 338 to 795 of the family's 1533-position model. The record is from RNAcentral.
CCUACGGGUGGCAGCAGUCGAGAAUCAUUCACAAUGGGCGAAACCCUGAUGGUGCGACGCCGCGUGGGGGAAUGAAGGUCUUCGGAUUGUAAACCCCUGUCAUGUGGGAGCAAAUUAAAAAGAUAGUACCACAAGAGGAAGAGACGGCUAACUCGGUGCCAGCAGCCGCGGUAAUACAGAGGUCGCAAGCGUUGUUCGGAAUCACGGGGCGUAAAGCGUGCGUAGGCGGUUUCGUAAGUCGUGUGUGAAAGGCGCGGGCUCAACCCGCGGACGGCACAUGAUACUGGGAGACUAGAGUAAGGGAGGGGGAACCGGAAUUCUCGGUGUAGCAGUGAAAUGCGUAGAUAUCGAGAGGAACACUCGUGGCGAAGGCGGGUUCCUGGACAUUAACUGACGCUGAGGAACGAAGGCCAGGGGAGCGAAAGGGAUUAGAUACCCGAGUAGUC